CCCUCAUCAAUUCAAAAUAACACCUUCUGGUCUCUACACUUUAAUCGCAUAAAAUUUAAUACCCAUUAGUCCAAAAUUAAAUCCAAUGGAUCACUUUAUCGACUAUAUUUACUUUAAAAUAGCACCACACAUUCUAAUAAAUGUACAUGUGUGGCCCCAAAGUUGGAAUUUUUUCCAACACGGUGGGCAUCUGCAUGUUGCCUCAUUCGGUUCCUGGCCUUUUCCAAAUUUUGCUUUAGGCGUCGUAGCAGUUCAUCUCGGUCACAUAGCUCUUUAUCCACUUCUUGCACCACUACACUGCCUGGCAAAUAACGAGUAAUUACAGGCGAAGGUCUCCCAUACAAAGCCUGAAACGAGGUCAGUCCAAUCGCACGGUGGAAUGUGGUAUUAUACCAGAAUUCUGCCCAUGGUAAAUGAUGACUCCAUUGCUUUGGUGCUUGACUUGAUAGGCAUGGAAGAUAUAACUGAAGGCUUCGGUUUACUACUUCCGUCUGAUCAUCAGUCUCGAGGUGAUAGGCAGAUGACAUCUUAAAUUGUGUUCCUUACAACUUAAAGAAUUACUGCCAAGGAUUACUUGUAAACAAAGCAACACGGUCGCUAAUAAUAGUUCGAGGAAUACCAUAAAGGCGAGCCAUAUAUUCAAUAUACACCUCUGCAAUUUUCUUGGCUGUGAAUGGAUGAGUCGCAGCAAUGAAGUGGGCGUAUUUUGAGAGGCGACCUACUACAACCAGUAUGCUAUUUUUUCCGUUGGAGCUUGGCAAACCUUCUAUGAAGUCCAUAGAAAUGUCAUCCCAUACUUUUGAAGGCACGAGAAGAGGUUGAAGGAGACCUACUGGUGAUCGAGAGUCGGUCUUAUUUCUUUGGAUAAAUAGGCCAAGCUUUCUUUCUUGGACCCAAUGCUUUACUCAAAAAUGCCACUGGUCUACCUUGUUGGGACAAUAUAGCUCCAAUAUCUACAUCUGAAGCAUCGGUUUCUAUGACAAAAGUUUCAGUAAAAUUAGGAAUGGCCAAUACUGGGGUAGUAGUCAUUGCAAAUUUGAACUUCUCAAAGGCUUUUUCUGAAUUUUCAUCCCAGUGGAAUUGUCCUUUCUUCAACAAUUGUGUUAGAGGAUCUGCAUUAAUUCCGUAAUCGCGCACGAACUUACGAUAAUAUCCUGUAAGUCCUAAGAAACCACAAAGCUCUGUUACAUUCGUG
This 1195-nucleotide long non-coding RNA is filed under the name Olea europaea subsp. europaea. Lineage: Eukaryota; Viridiplantae; Streptophyta; Magnoliopsida; Lamiales; Oleaceae. The record is from RNAcentral.